CAUGCAAGUCGAGCGGAAACGAGUUAACUGACCCUUCGGGUGAUGUUAGCGGCGUCGAGCGGCGGACGGGUGAGUAAUGCCUGGGAAAUUGCCCUGAUGUGGGGGAUAACCAUUGGAAACGAUGGCUAAUACCGCAUAAUGCCUUCGGGCCAAAGAGGGGGACCUUCGGGCCUCUCGCGUCAGGAUAUGCCCAGGUGGGAUUAGCUAGUUGGUGAGGUAAUGGCUCACCAAGGCGACGAUCCCUAGCUGGUCUGAGAGGAUGAUCAGCCACACUGGAACUGAGACACGGUCCAGACUCCUACGGGAGGCAGCAGUGGGGAAUAUUGCACAAUGGGCGCAAGCCUGAUGCAGCCAUGCCGCGUGUGUGAAGAAGGCCUUCGGGUUGUAAAGCACUUUCAGCAGUGAGGAAGGCGGGUACGUUAAUAGCGUAUUCGUUUGACGUUAGCUGCAGAAGAAGCACCGGCUAACUCCGUGCCAGCAGCCGCGGUAAUACGGAGGGUGCGAGCGUUAAUCGGAAUUACUGGGCGUAAAGCGCAUGCAGGUGGUUCGUUAAGUCAGAUGUGAAAGCCCGGGGCUCAACCUCGGAACUGCAUUUGAAAC
RNAcentral lists this ribosomal RNA (600 nucleotides) under uncultured Gammaproteobacteria bacterium. RNAcentral's name for it is "bacterial SSU rRNA". It matches the Rfam family "Bacterial small subunit ribosomal RNA", at positions 54 to 633 of the family's 1533-position model. Lineage: Bacteria; Pseudomonadati; Pseudomonadota; Gammaproteobacteria. The record is from RNAcentral.